This 344-nucleotide ribosomal RNA is filed under the name uncultured bacterium. RNAcentral describes it as "bacterial SSU rRNA". It matches the Rfam family "Bacterial small subunit ribosomal RNA", at positions 29 to 371 of the family's 1533-position model. The record is from RNAcentral.
ACGAACGCUGGCGGCGUGCUUAACACAUGCAAGUCGAGCGGUAGGGGCCCUUUCGGGGGUACGACGAGCGGCGAACGGAUGAGUAACACGUGGGUGACCUGCCCUCAGCUCUGGGAUAAGCCUGGGGAAACUGGGUCUAAUACUGGAUAUGACUCCACGGUGCAUGUCGUGGGGUGGAAAGCCUUGUGCGGCUGAGGAUGGGCCCGCGGCCUAUCAGCUUGUUGGUGGGGNGAUGGCCUACCAAGGCGACGACGGGUAGCCGGCCUGAGAGGGCGACCGGCCACACUGGGACUGAGACACGGCCCAGACUCCUACGGGAGGCAGCAGUGGGGAAUCUUGCGCAA